CCGUGUUACGUCCUUGCUUUGUGUGCUCUUUCCUGACCAUCCAAGUAGUUUUUGACUAGUGUGGCACGGUGCUAGUUAAAAUUCAUUCUUUAAAAGUGAAUAUCCACUUAGCUCCUCUCCUCUGAACUUUCGUCAUUCAUUAUUAACAGUGAAAGCCAAAGUGCAUGAAACAAGUUCAGCCCUAUCUGUGUCUGGCAUGAAAGUGAUGUCUGGGCGUAUUAGUGGGACACGGCUCUAUCUUACAUAAAGUGAUGCCUGGGCCCACAACAAAGGCUCUGACUCUCAGCGCCUAAUAGGAUCACCUACUUCAAAUGUGAAACUUCCUUCUUUGAAAUAUUUGUUGAGAUUUCAUAAACCUAUGAAGAUUCUCAAACUCAAACAAAACCUCCUAGGCCUCAGUGCAAGCUCCGACUCUAAAGAGCUUUCUGUUCUAUAAACCGGUUAUUGGAUCUGGGUCCCGAGCCGGGCAGACAGGGAAGUGUGGGCAAGUCUGCAGAGGGAGAGCUUGCUCUCCACUUUCGCUUUUUGAUACAAAACAUAAAAGUCAUCUGGCUUUGACUGCAGAAAAUGAAUCAUAUUAAGCAUUUUAAAAGCACUAUUCUUUUGGUAAGGCCUAAUUUCAGACCGAUUAACACUUUAAUAUGAAACAGAAGCACAUCAUUUCAUUAGAAGACAAAACAAGGCUUCUCAGCUACCAUAUGCUGUCUCUUCCUUUGGAAAAAAAAAAUCUUUUGAAACCUCAGAUUGCAGAUUGAGCUACAAGACAGAAUGCAGAUUUGGCACCAACGCCCACCCCAGCUGUCUUUUCAGAAUUGUACUCUCUCAGUUUGAGGUUGAAAAGGAGAAAGGGGAAGCUUUACAAAUUGCUAGAACAUGGACACACCUCUGUAAUCAUGUUGAAAGUCACAUCCAAACAUAUGAAGGUAAAAUUAUGAUUUAUACAGUUAUUAAUUUUGUGUCAUAUCUUUGGCAUGGAUGAUAUGCCAGAGACUCUACUGCUCACCAAAUACUCUAGCUGCUGUCAACAUUUGUCUUUUUCCUGGAAAGGGGGGUGGUGCCUUCUGGCUAGUUCUCGCUGAUGAAAUGUGCAUGAGUCACUUCUAUAGAUGAAUCACACAGGUUCUCAGAGGUUUUCCUUUUCUUGUCAUGGUCUGUGGAGGCCACAGAGUUGUAGGAGAUUCAGUUACAAAAUAGGGGGGCUCCCACAGCCCACUCCUCUGAUGGGAGUUGAGUUCCCCUCUACCUGUCCAGGAUGAGUAGCAUGAUAGAGAAAUUACAAUUGGCUUGGGUAAAGACUGAGAUUUGGUGGUUGCUUAUUGCUGUAUUUAAUGAGGACUGUCUUAAUUAAUGAGUAGGCCAGUGAUACUCACAUCACCUUUCUGUGAUGAAAUAGGAUGCACACACCAGAAUAUAAAUUAGCACAUUACUCAGGUUGGGAAAGUCUCACCAUGAGAAAUAGGUCAGAUGACCUGAACAGUGCACCUUCUCACAGAAGCUCCAUAACUAACCACACCUGACAAGGCAGAGUUCAUAGACACACUCUGAGAGUCACUGUAGCAGACAAGUAGACAAUGGCACUUUGUGGGUUUUUUUUUCUUCUUGGUAAACCUAAGUCUUUCCACAAAGAAUAGGGAUAGUCACAAAGGGAAAGAAAAGUACAUAAUAGACCAGAUAAUAUUUUUCAAGAGAUAGCCUUUAUGAUUUUGUCUUUCUAGUAAUUUGAAACCACAAUCUACCAAAAAGAAACAGGAAAAAUCUUCUCCAUUUUGAUUCUUCUCAAAGGAACAACAGUAUUUUUCUCUUCCAGAAAAAUCACUGCAACUGCAAGCACAAAACACAGCACUAACCCCCCCCACACACACACACACUCACACACACUCACACACUUCUAUCUGAAUAUUUAGGAUAGUUACUAGUGUAAGUUAAAAACACAGUACAUUAUUGGGGAGUGAGUGAAUAAAAUCUGUUUGCAUUAGCCA
Oryctolagus cuniculus (rabbit) is the source of this 1979-nucleotide long non-coding RNA. The record is from Ensembl. Lineage: Eukaryota; Metazoa; Chordata; Mammalia; Lagomorpha; Leporidae.